GCACUACAGCGCUAUUGGCGAUAGAAAUUAAAAUCAAACAAUAUGGACAGUGUUGCUGUAUCUGUUGUUCCGAGAGUUAUUUAUUGAAUUGGUGGUACUUAAUUAAUGAAGGAAUAUAACGAUUUAAAACAGCGACUGAUGGAAAUUAGGUUAACAUUUCGUGCAAAAUGCACGCGUAUUGGGUUUCAAUUAGUUAAAGAUUACAACGCCAACGGUGAAAUAUGCAAUUCACUUCCCAUGAUUCUCUAUCGACAAUCAAUAUUUCUCACGAUCGAUUUAAGCGGGAAGGAAGCACACCUUGUCUGUAAAGAACAGUGUUACUUAGAAAAAUCAUUCAGAAAGAAGUAUCAUCCAGAAGUUCUCAGGUAAAAAUUUAAAUCAAUAGAUGUCAGAUUUACGUUUGUGUUUUGAAUCUUUAAAAUAAAACGUGCAUUUUUGGCUUCAAGUGAAGCUAACAUUUCGUACGAAAUGUGCGAUUGCAGCGCCAACGGUGAAAUAUGCAACAGACAUCCUACGAUUCUCGACAUAAUCGAUAUUUCUCAAGAUCGAUUUUUAAACGGGAAAAAUGGCGAAAGAAAGCAUACCUCGUCUAUAAAGAAGAAAGUGUUGUACAGAAAAAUCAUCCAAAAAGAAGUAUUAUCCAGAAGUUCUCAGGUUAUUCCUUGAUUGCAGAGACAGCAUAGAUAGUACAGCCACGAUUAUUAAUGGACAAUCUGAUACUGAUGAAAACUUUCACGGAAAUUUGGUAACAUUUUAUUCAUAACAUUUGGGUAAUAUUUGGUAUACAAUUUAUAUAUAUUUGAGAUACAAUUUAUAUGUCUCUCCGAAAACUAACGCGCAAUUGAAAUAUUUCAAAGCAAGAUUUCACACGUGUUUCUCGUGUUAUUAUUUCU
RNA transcript from Frieseomelitta varia, 893 nucleotides. RefSeq lists it as uncharacterized. The transcript is spliced from 4 exons. The record is from RefSeq and is a predicted model, not a curated record. NCBI's taxonomy places the organism in Eukaryota, Metazoa, Arthropoda, Insecta, Hymenoptera, Apidae.